Long non-coding RNA from Oncorhynchus tshawytscha (Chinook salmon), 879 nucleotides. Lineage: Eukaryota; Metazoa; Chordata; Actinopteri; Salmoniformes; Salmonidae. The record is from Ensembl.
CCGGUGUCAAUACAUUUAGGAAUGUUUGUAAACAAAUUAAUAAGAAUGGAAUAAGAUUACACAUAAAAUAAGUACAAUGCAAUAUGCAACCCUGUGUGUUUGUGUGUGCGUGUGUGCCCGUGUGUGAAUUAAAGGGACUGUCUAGCUCAGUAGUCUGCAUAUUAGUUGCAGUAGUUGGCGCACCUCUCCUAUCUCUGAUUGUUCUAGGGGUCUUCUGCCAGAGGUUACCUCAGCAUAUGUAGGCUGACGAUCUGACUGAUACAUGGUGUGGACUGCAUCAUGUGGUCUACUUCCCUGAAGGGCAGUGUUCUGACCGACCCUGGAGUAGUGGUCAGAGCUGUUUUGUGAUGGGUCUGGUCUGGUAGAGCUGUGUUGUGAUGGGCCAGGUCUAGUAGAGCUGUGUUGUGAUGGGCCGGGUCUAGUAGAGCUGUGUUGUGAUGGGCCGGGUCUAGUAGAGCUGUGUUGUGAUGGGCCGGGUCUAGUAGAGCUGUGUUGUGAUGGGCCGGGUCUAGUAGAGCUGUGUUGUGAUGGGCCGGGUCUAGUAGAGCUGUGUUGUGAUGGGCCGGGUCUAGUAGAGCUGUGUUGUGAUGGGCCGGGUCUAGUAGAGCUGUGUUGUGAUGGGCCAGGUCUAGUAGAGCUGUGUUGUGAUGGGACGGGUCUAGUUGUGCUGUCCUGAGGCGGAUCUGGUCUGGUAAAUAUGUGCUGUGUUGGGCCUGGUCUAGUAGAGCUGUGCUGUAAUAAGCCAUGUCUGGCUCUUUUCUCUUCGGGAUGGUGGAGGUACUGUUGUUUCAGAAGGUGGGGCGGGGGACCUCUGUAGCUGGGGUGAUGGGUGUGUGGGUCCCUGCCAAGCGUUGCAUCUUUUAGGUCCUUGGCAAAGGU